This 406-nucleotide ribosomal RNA is filed under the name uncultured bacterium. RNAcentral's name for it is "partial 16S ribosomal RNA". It matches the Rfam family "Bacterial small subunit ribosomal RNA", at positions 29 to 526 of the family's 1533-position model. The record is from RNAcentral.
AUUGAACGCUGGCGGCAGGCCUAACACAUGCAAGUCGAGCGAGCGGCGGACGGGUGAGUAAUGUCUGGGAAACUGCCUGAUGGAGGGGGAUAACUACUGGAAACGGUAGCUAAUACCGCAUACCAUCGGAUGUGCCCAGAUGGGAUUAGCUAGUAGGGGGGGUAAAGGCUCACCUAGGCGACGCUCCCUAGCUGGUCUGAGAGGCUGAUCAGACAAACUGGAACUGAGACACGGUCCAGACUCCUACGGGAGGCAGCAGUGGGGAAGAUUGCACAAUGGGCGCAAGCCUGAUGCAGCCAUGCCGCGUGUAUGAAGAAGGCCUUCGGGUUGUAAAGUACUUGCAGCGGGGAGGCGUUACCCGCAGAAGAAGCACCGGCUAACUCCGUGCCAGCAGCCGCGGUAAUAC